This 466-nucleotide ribosomal RNA is filed under the name uncultured bacterium. RNAcentral describes it as "partial 16S ribosomal RNA". It matches the Rfam family "Bacterial small subunit ribosomal RNA", at positions 28 to 507 of the family's 1533-position model. The record is from RNAcentral.
GAUGAACGCUGGCGGCGUGCUUAACACAUGCAAGUCGAACGAUGAAGCCCAGCUUGCUGGGUGGAUUAGUGGCGAACGGGUGAGUAACACGUGAGUAACCUGCCCUUAACUCUGGGAUAAGCCUGGGAAACUGGGUCUAAUACCGGAUAGGAGCGCCUACCGCAUGGUGGGUGUUGGAAAGAUUUAUCGGUUUUGGAUGGACUCGCGGCCUAUCAGCUUGUUGGUGAGGUAAAGGCUCACCAAGGCGACGACGGGUAGCCGGCCUGAGAGGGUGACCGGCCACACUGGGACUGAGACACGGCCCAGACUCCUACGGGAGGCAGCAGUGGGGAAUAUUGCACAAUGGGCGAAAGCCUGAUGCAGCGACGCCGCGUGAGGGAUGACGGCCUUCGGGUUGUAAACCUCUUUCAGUAGGGAAGAAGCGAAAGUGACGGUACCUGCAGAAGAAGCACCGGCUAACUACGUG